ACCCGCUGAACUUAAGCAUAUCAAUAAGCGGAGGAAAAGAAACCAACAGGGAUUGCCCUAGUAACGGCGAGUGAAGCGGCAACAGCUCAAAUUUGAAAUCUGGCGUCUUUGGCGUCCGAGUUGUAAUUUGCAGAGGGCGCUUUGGCAUUGGCAGCGGUCCAAGUUCCUUGGAACAGGACGUCACAGAGGGUGAGAAUCCCGUACGUGGUCGCUAGCCUUUACCGUGUAAAGCCCCUUCGACGAGUCGAGUUGUUUGGGAAUGCAGCUCUAAAUGGGAGGUAAAUUUCUUCUAAAGCUAAAUACUGGCCAGAGACCGAUAGCGCACAAGUAGAGUGAUCGAAAGAUGAAAAGCACUUUGGAAAGAGAGUUAAAAAGCACGUGAAAUUGUUGAAAGGGAAGCGCUUGCAGCCAGACUUGCCUGUAGUUGCUCAUCCGGGUUUCUACCCGGUGCACUCUUCUAUAGGCAGGCCAGCAUCAGUUUGGGCGGUUGGAUAAAGGUCUCUGUCACGUACCUCUCUUCGGGGAGGCCUUAUAGGGGAGACGACAUACUACCAGCCUGGACUGAGGUCCGCGCAUCUGCUAGGAUGCUGGCGUAAUGGCUGU
This 603-nucleotide ribosomal RNA is filed under the name uncultured fungus. RNAcentral's name for it is "eukaryotic LSU rRNA". It matches the Rfam family "Eukaryotic large subunit ribosomal RNA", at positions 23 to 641 of the family's 3401-position model. The record is from RNAcentral. Lineage: Eukaryota; Fungi.